This 497-nucleotide ribosomal RNA is filed under the name uncultured bacterium. RNAcentral describes it as "partial 16S ribosomal RNA". It matches the Rfam family "Bacterial small subunit ribosomal RNA", at positions 28 to 507 of the family's 1533-position model. The record is from RNAcentral.
GAUGAACGCUGGCGGCGUGCCUAAUACAUGCAAGUCGAGCGAACGGACGAGAAGCUUGCUUCUCUGAUGUUAGCGGCGGACGGGUGAGUAACACGUGGAUAACCUACCUAUAAGACUGGGAUAACUUCGGGAAACCGUAGCUAAUACCGGAUAAUAUUUUGAACCGCAUGGUUCAAAAGUGAAAGACGGUCUUGCUGUCACUUAUAGAUGGAUCCGCGCUGCAUUAGCUAGUUGGUAAGGUAACGGCUUACCAAGGCAACGAUGCAUAGCCGACCUGAGAGGGUGAUCGGCCACACUGGAACUGAGACACGGUCCAGACUCCUACGGGAGGCAGCAGUAGGGAAUCUUCCGCAAUAGGCGAAAGCCUGACGGAGCAACGCCGCGUGAGUGAUAGAGGUCUUCGGAUCGUAAAACUCUGUUAUUAGGGAAGAACAUAUGUGUAAGUAACUGUGCACAUCUUGACGGUACCUAAUCAGAAAGCCACGGCUAACUACGUG